Non-coding RNA from Doryrhamphus excisus (bluestripe pipefish), 18466 nucleotides. NCBI's taxonomy places the organism in Eukaryota, Metazoa, Chordata, Actinopteri, Syngnathiformes, Syngnathidae. The record is from RefSeq and is a predicted model, not a curated record.
UUUCCCGGGCCAGGCAUUCUAGGAUGGCACCAAAUCCCCGCGGAAUUCUCAGGUGCGCGUCACCGAACGGCACCGACAUGGUGACAACUAACAGAAAUUCAGAACGUUAGCUAACUAGCUAACUGGCCUCUGAUACUAACCGGCUAGCAUUAGUGACUCGCAGGUCAGGCAUACUUGAUGACUGCGUACUCGGAAUUUGUGCUCAUCUUGCGGCUGACCUCUCUGGGCUGCGGCAGGUGAAGCCUGUCAGCUGAGCACGAGGCCUGCCAGUGACCCCUGGGUCCGCAUCCUCGCCACUGAAAUACAGCAGAAUGGAACCACACUGUGCAAUUUGCUGUUUUUUCUGCUUUGGACCCAACUUGGACUCACUUCAGAAUCAACUGAAGCAAGCACAGCCUCAUCUAUCAGUGAUGUGAUCGACCGUGAUCAGUGCCCGGAGGGAACGUACGUCUCCCACCAGCUUUGUUUGGAGUGCCCCCCUGGUCAUUUUUGUCCUGGGAAUGUAUCUGCGGCUCAGAGAUGCCCAUCAGGAACAUUCAAUCCAUAUGCGGGGAAAGGCAGGAUCAGUGACUGUAAGCUUUGUUUUCCAGGGCUGAUAGGCUCUGACGACCGAGUGGACUGCAGGCUGUGCCCAGCGGGUUUCUCCUGCUUUCCAAUGGACGGGAGUCUCUUAUUAUGCCCGCCUGGGCGGCAUUCACCAGAAGGGGUCCUUCACUGUCUACCGUGUCCUAUGGAUUCUAUAUGCACCUUUGGGUUUGCACACAAGUGUGGGCCUGGCGAAGAGCCGAACUCAGAUCACACUGAAUGCAAUGUCUGUCCUCCAGGCUUCUAUUCCAGUGUGUGCACUAUCCACUGCCUUCAAUGUCCUGCAGGGAAUUACUGUCCAGAAAGUGGUACGUCCCAACCGCUCACUUGUCCACCCGGCUGGUACUCCACACCGGGGCAGACUUCAUGCCAAAGGUGCAAUGACACCUCCUUACUGUGUGGGGCAGCGCCCCGGUGGAGGUCAAGUCAACCCAUUGCAUGUGGACCAGGCACGUACAAACACACGAGGGAGGAUUCAGCCUGUAUUGCGUGUCCAGUAGGUCAUUACUGUGAAGGAGGUGUAGCUAUACCUUGUCCUGCAGGGACUUAUGGUCCUAAAGAAGGUCUGACGGACUGCACAGUGUGUCCUGCAGGGUUUUACUGUCUGGAAGGUAGCAGCACCCAGUUGCUGUGCGCACCAGGCUACUACUGUGAAGAGGGCACCACGACCCCCCACGGGUCACCUUGUCCAGCUGGUACAGCCGGAGAACAACUGGGGCAGACAAGUAGGGCAGCUUGCAAAAGAUGCAGCGAAGGACGGUUUUGUCCCGCAGGCUCUUCAUCUCCUGGCUUGCCUUGUGCUCGAGGAAGGUUCUGUCCUGCCGGCACACUGGAGGAAGUCACCUGUCCUCCCGGCACCUUCACCCCUAACCAGGGAGCCAUAAGUUUGAGGGACUGUCUCAAAUGCCCCGCUGGAUUCUAUUGUCUUGAGGGGACAAGCGACCCCGUGCCGUGUCCACCGGGCUCCUUCAACCCCUUGGAGGGUCAGGCCGAGUCAGCCGACUGCAGAGAAUGCCAUGCGGGGAAAGCCUGCACUCAGGUUGCUCUGAGAGCUCCGGAUGUGGACUGCAUGCAAGGAUUUGUGUGUCCACCUGGUUCUUCUAAACCCAAUGCUCAGAUCAAUGCAUGUCCACCAGGGACACUGAGCAACCGCACGGACCUCACAGAUCGUUCACAGUGUCAGCAGUGCCCGGCCAGAUAUGCCUGUCUUCGAGGAACAGGUGGUGUCCAGAGAGCCCCCCUCUCCUGUUCUGCAGGACAUUAUUGUCCACCUGGUACCAAAUUCCCCACCCAGUACAAAUGUCCCGAGGGGACUUGGAGCGGUCAAAGCGGAUUAGAAAGUGAAAGUGAAUGCCAGCCGUGCCCGCAGGGCUGGUACUGCCUGGUCGGGUCGGGAUCGCCUUCUGGACGAUGCAGCUCUGGACACUACUGUCCUGAAGGGACGGCAUAUGGCACCCAAUUUCCUUGCCCAACAGGCAUGUACAGCCUCCACAUGGGCAACAGGCAGAAAGAAGACUGCCUAGCCUGCCCUGAAGGCUCAUUCUGUCCGGAAGGCACCUCCAAACCUGCCCCCUGCCCGCCCUCAACGUUUCGCCAUCUGAAAGGAGGUCAGCGACUGGAGGACUGCUUCGAUUGCCCGGCGGGCUAUUUUUGUGCCCACUCAAGCACUGUUAACCCAAGAGCAUGUGGAGCCGGAAGCUACUCUGACGAAGGCUCAGCAGAAUGUUCCCCAUGCUUGCCGGGCCACUUCUGCAGUAACGAGACCACGAGUGAGGAAGCCAUGCUCAGCGUCAUGGUGUGCCCCCCAGGUUUUCUCUGCUCGCAGGGCUCGGCUCGAGACCCUCGUCGCUCAGCCACCCUCUGUCCUCGUGGCUUCUACUGCCCGGGGGGAGGCAUUGAUCCCAACCCUGUUCCCUGCCCGAAUGGUACUUACAGUGAAUAUCCUGCUUUACGUGAUGUCAGUGAGUGUGUGCCUUGUCCUAAAGGGAAGUACUGUUACUCCCAACAGCCUGAGGAGCGCCCUAUCACCAUGCCUACGGGCCUUUGUCCCGAUGGCCAUUACUGCCCACUGGGGACUGGGUACCCGUAUUCUUACCCCUGCCUCGCUGGACAGUACAGGAGCAAUGCAGCAGGUCACAGUGGAGAAGUGUGUGUUUCAUGUCCAUUCAGACACUACUGUGGCAAACCAGGAGUUCACACACCCGCAGUUUGCCCUCAGGGAUUUUACUGUCCCGAGGGCUCCUCCUCUGCCCAACCUUGUCCUGAGGGAAGUUUUGGAUCACACUCUGCUCUGGGUGAUGAAGCUGAGUGUUCCCCUUGUGGAGGAGGCAGAUAUUGCACCGGUGUGGGCCUUGCAGAGCCAACUGGUAUCUGUGAAGGGCGAUUCUACUGCAGAGAGGGAUCCAAGUUUGCAACUCCAGUGGACGGCAAUACGGGUGGCUUCUGUCCACCAGGAAGCUACUGCCCUCCAGCUUCCUCCUCUCCCUUCCCCUGCCCGCCCGGCACCUUCAGCAACGUCUCUGGUCUCAGCAGACCUGAGGACUGUGUCCGCUGUCCACCGGGUUUGUAUUGUCUAGGUUCCAACAACACAUCGCCAUCAGGCCGGUGUUCUCCUGGGUAUUACUGCACCAGCGGUUCAGCCUCGCCGACUCAGAAUGAAGCAGAGCAGGGUCACUAUACUUUGGGGGGUGCAUCCAGGCCUGAGCCAUGUCCUCUUGGGACUUUCCAGCCGGACCAAGGUGCAACGUCAUGUAUUGCAUGUCAAGGAGGCCGAUUGUGCAACCAGACAGGCUUGUCCCAGCCACUGCUUUGUCCAAAGGGACACUACUGUCCUCUGGCAUCCUCUGUUGCUCACCCAUGUCCUCCAGGCUUGUACUCGGAUCAACCCGGUGGGGAAGACGUGCAGCACUGCCGGGCGUGCGAGGCGGGAUGGUUUUGCAGCAAGGCCGGACUCCCAGCUCCGGAGGGCCUCUGUGAUGCUGGACACUACUGCACAUCUGGAGCCUCCACAGCUGUUCCAGUUGCUCUGAACUCAGGGGGAAUGUGUCCAGCCGGGUACGUUUGCCCCAGAGGGACUAAACACCCUCAGCAACAUCCCUGUCCUCUGGGUACCUGGAGUAACACAGUGGGGGCCCAAAACGUAUCUUUUUGCCUGCUCUGCCCUGCUGGACUCUAUUGCAACACGACUGGACUCAUUCAGCCUUCUGGAUUAUGUUACACCGGCUUCUAUUGCUCAGGGGGGGCAGUGUCUCCAAAACCUUUAGAUGGUAUCACAGGGGACAUUUGUCCAGUUGGACACCACUGUCCCAUGGGCUCAGCCUCCCCUACGCUCUGUCCUGAUGGAAUGUCCACCAACACAACAGGUGCAGAAACAUGUUAUGAAUGCCCCCCCGGGAGCUACUGUCUACCCGGGGAAGGCAUCCAGCGCUGCCCUUUAGGCCACUAUUGUCUUGGAGGAGGGGGUGAAGGUAUCCUUCCCUGCCCUCCUGGCACAUACAACCCUCAGUUAGGCUUGAGCCAAGUGGAGCAGUGCCUCGUCUGUCCAGCAGGCUUCUACUGUGAGGACUGGGGUUUGCCUGAACCCACCGGGCCCUGCAAUGCUGGUUUUUACUGCAUAGCAGGUGUAAACGCCCCAACGCCAGAUGGAAACUACAGCACUGGAGUCGGGGGAGCGUGUCCAGAGGGAAGACUCUGCCCCGAAGGCACCGGUCUCCCCCUCACCUGUCCCCCAGGGACCUACUCAGACAGGCUUCGUCUGACUGAACUUAGCGGCUGUAGCUUGUGUCCAGCGGGUCACUUCUGCGCUACUGAAGGUCUGAGGCGGCCUUCUGGAAAGUGUCAGCAAGGAUUUUACUGUCCAGGUGGAGACACAGCAGCCACAGGCUCUGUAGGAGGUCUUUGCCCAACUGCUCAUUACUGCCCAGAAGGCAGCGCAAGCCCAGGGCCCUGCCCGGCGGGAUCCUAUGCAAACCUCACUGGCCAGUCUGUGUGUUCUCCCUGCCCUGCUGGCUACUACUGCCCGGAAAAGACCAGCGACUUCAGACAGUUUCCCUGUCCACCUGGGUUCUAUUGUCCUGAUGGUACAAGGCAUGCCACCCAGUACCCGUGUCCUCGUGGCUACUACAACCCAGAACUCAUGACCCAAAGCCUGGACAGCUGCCUGCCCUGCCCUCCCGGACACUACUGUGAGAAAGAGAGGCUGACCAAAGUGUCUGGAAAAUGCAAAGCUGGUUGGUUUUGCGUGUCAGCAGCCUGGAACUCGCAACCAUUCGACCUCGACAAUUACACCAAUGCUAACUGUCUGUGCCCAGCCACUGCCACGGGGGGACGCUGCCAGGCGGGCUUUUACUGCCCUGGAGGGAGCUCAGAGCCUCUGCCUUGUCUGCCUGGAGCCUUCUGUAACAUCUCGGGUUUGGCCUUGCCCAUGGGUCCCUGUUCUCCAGGUUAUUACUGUGUAGGGGGAGCCACCGAGGCCAAGCCAACAGAUGGGGAAACAGGCAGCAUCUGUCCAAGUGGGACAUAUUGUGUUGAAGGCUCAAGGGAACCAGAGCUAUGUCCUCCUGGCACUUUUUCACCAGUUCCUGGUCUGACCAGCAAGGCUGACUGUCAGCGUUGUCCUGCAGGGUUCUACUGCCGUGGACCGGGCCUCAGUGCGCCCUCUGGGCCCUGUGAUCAAGGUUAUUGGUGCCCGCCUGGUCAAACUGUAGCCCAAGCUCUGCCAUGUCCACUUGGUCAUUUUUGCUUAAUGGGUAGUGCAGCCCCAGAGCCUUGCCCCUUCGGAACCUACCAGGACAGGGAAAAGCAAUCAGCCUGCGUCGCUUGUGAGGCAGGUUACUUCUGUGAUAUCCAACUGGCUGGAGCCAAUGGCUCCUUGAAGAGGCCCUGCCCAAAAGGACAUUACUGCCCUGCAGGUGCACGCAUGCCAGAGCUGCACCCUUGCCCUGUAGGCUCAUACAACCCAAGACAGCACGCAGACAGCCUGCUAGCCUGCAUGCCGUGUCCUAGUGGACAGUUCUGUCCUUCGCCAGGACUUUCACAGCCGGCAGGGCCGUGCCUUGCUGGUUAUUGGUGCAAAGCUGGGGCGUCCUCUCUAACUCCAUUGGACGGACUCUCUGGUUCUAUGUGUCCACCUGGUCAUUACUGCCCGGCAGGCACCACUGCUCCUUCGGCCUGCCCAAAGGGAACAUGGUCCAACAGCUCAGGCCUGCGGAGACAGGAGGACUGUCAGAGCUGUCAUGGGGGAUUUUAUUGUGACGCUGCUGGCCUUACUGCUCCUACUGGACGCUGCAGUGGAGGGUAUUAUUGUCUGGGGGGAGCUGUCACACCCACUCCCACUGAUGGAAUCACAGGGGGAUCUUGUCCCGAGGGUUCCUACUGCCCUGAAGGAACCACAGAACCCAUCCGAUGUGACCCAGGCACCUAUGUUGCCAUGACACAUGCGACUGAGUGUGAGGCCUGUCCGCCGGGCUGGUACUGCGUGACUGGCUCCUUGCACCUGUGUCCUGCAGGGUUCUAUUGCCCUGAAAGAACCGGCUAUGACGUCAGAAGCUGUCCACAGGGAACGUACGGCUCUGACCCGGGAUACUGGUCUGUCUCCCAGUGCAAGCAGUGUGACAGCGGCCAUUACUGCUCCUCCACAAAUGCCACAGCUGUCAGCGGAGCGUGUCAGGAAGGAUAUUACUGCUCACGUGGAAACACCUCCCCCCGCCCUGUCUCACAGGCUGCAGCAGGAGAGGGAGGACCGUGUCCUGUCGGUCACUUUUGCCCCCCGGGAAGCGUGCAUCCCCUGCCAUGUCCUCCUGGUACUUUCUCCAACCUCACCAAAUUAGUCUCCCAGGUGGGUUGUGAGCUGUGUCUCCCGGGUUACUACUGCGAUACUGCAGGCCUUUCAGCGCCCUCUGGUAAAUGCCGGGGGGGCUUCUUCUGCCCAGGUGGUGCGUAUCGGCCUGACCCACGACCGUGCCCCAAAGGUUAUUACUGUUCCGAGGGCUCCGCCGUUCCUCAGCCGUGCCCCCGGGGAACCAUCAGUGGCGAGGAUGGCCAAGCCAGCUGUAGCACCUGUCCCCAGGGCUUCUACUGUCCGGAGAGCAGCAAUGGGUCCUUGUAUGAGUGUCCGGUGGGACACUUCUGCCCGGUUGGGACCUGGUCCAAAUACCUCUACUCAUGUCCAGCUGGGUCCAUCAACCCUCACACUCGGAUGGCAAAGGCCCAGGACUGCGUACCCUGCCCACCAGGUUUGUUCUGUGCAUUUCCUGGAAUGUCUGUUGCAUCAGGCCAGUGUCUUGCUGGCUAUUACUGUCAGUCCGGUGCUCAGUCACCCACGCCAGCCGAUGGCGGUGUGACAGGUGACCUCUGUCCCGAGGGCCAUUAUUGUCCUCAGGGUUCCUCAGCACCAUUACCAUGCCCGUUAGGACAUUACAGCAACAAAACCAGGAACAGGGAAAUCUCUGACUGCGUCCCGUGUACUCCUGGGUUCCUGUGUGCCACCAGAGGGCUCUCUUUCCCUUCCCACUUGUGUUCCGCUGGCUCAUACUGUCCUAGCUCUAAUACUUCAUUACUCUGUCCUCCUGGAAGCAUGUGUCCACCUGGAUCUCAUAGACCAGUACCCUGCUUGCCAGGGACGUACCAAAAUGAGCCAGGGCAGGCGGAGUGUGUUACUUGCCCAGCAGGAUUUUACUGUGCUGGCUCCAUGGAUGAUGAUGACGACAGGAAAAAGCCUGGGAUUCAGACUCCCACGCUGUGUCCUCAAGGAAACUAUUGCCCACCAGGGUCACAGUCUGGUGUAGCCUUUCCAUGCCCAGCUGGCACCUUCAGCAGGCAGAUGGGCUUGUCCAGCGAAUGGGGCUGUGAGCCCUGCCCUCCUGGGACGUACUGCGCCUCCUCUGGACUGACAGCCCCAACUGGGCUCUGCUCUCCGGGUUACUUCUGCGCCCACAGGUCUGUCACUGCCCAGCCGCAGGGUGAUCCCACAGGGGGACACUGCCCUGCAGGGUCCUACUGCCCAAGGGGUAGCGGUAGCAGGGUGCCAUGUCCUGCUGGCACUUUCAGCUCCGUAGAAGGGGCGACGUCCGUGGAGGAAUGUCUGCUUUGUUUGCCCGGCCAUUAUUGCGCCAAAGCUGGCCUCUCUGCUCCAUCUGGUCCCUGCAAGUCUGGAUUCUAUUGCACAGAGGGGUCCACAACUGACAUGCCCUGGGGUAACAACACAGGAGGCAGUACGUCUUCAAUGCCACUUCCCGGGGAGUCAACACCGGGUCAGACCCAUGGAGACAUGUGUCCUGCGGGCCACUAUUGUCCUGAAGGGAGCACGAUGCCAAGCCCCUGUCCUCCAGGCACUUUCCAAGGGAAGUCAGGGGCUGAGUCCGAGGCCGACUGUGAAGCUUGCUACGCUGGGUCCUACUGCCCCUCGUGGGCGCAGACCUCUGUGGACCUCCGGUGUCCUGCAGGGUGGUUCUGUCCAAUGGGGUCCGUGUCUGGACAUCGGCCAGGAUUUCAGUGCCCGCCUGGCCACUCCUGUCCAUAUGGUAGCGCUGAGCCGGCCAUCUGUGGCCCGGGAUCUUUUCAAUCUUCAUCUGGCCAGUCUGUGUGCAACAUCUGCCCACCAGGUUUUUACUGUGUAGAGCGUUCAUCUGAGCCCUCUCCCUGUCCCAUUGGCACUGUCGUUUCAUCAUCUGGCAGGACGUCAUCCAGCGAGUGCGCCCCCUGCCCCUCUGGCUUUUUCUGCAACAGCACUGCUCUCACAGAGCCCUCCGGACCCUGCAGUCCAGGAUAUUUUUGUUCAUCCGGGUCCCCAGAGCCAUCUCCCGUCUCCCAGCCCCACGGAGACAUCUGUCCUGCUGGACAUUUCUGUCCUCUCGGUAGUCAAUCCACCAAACCCUGUCCUAUUGGCAGCUUCCUCCCUGAACCCGGAGCUUCCUCCCCCUCUCACUGCCACCCCUGUCCGCCUGGGAAAUACUGCGUCAGCCCUGGAGCCUCGCAGCCUACAGGUUUGUGUUCGGCGGGGUUCUUUUGCACCGGAGGUGCAGACAAUCCGACACCACAGGCCAACCCUCUUUUAUUGAUGUGUCUACAUGAAAUUCUGGACAUUUACUACCCAAAGAAAGACAACGUAUCCUGGCUGUACAACAUGUCGUGCUUCUACAACUCCUGCAAUGCUGAGGGAGACUCCAAGUGGGUCAAAGUGGAGGCGCCUCCCCGGCACUCAGACUCAGACCUCCAUAUUAUGACUCACUCACCGCAACGCCUCAAGAGUCCACAUAAUGGGACAUGUGCCACCUACAGAGGAGAUUUAUGCCCCAAGGGUUUUUAUUGUCCUCUAGGUUCUGCGUACCCCCGUCAGUGCGAAACCGGCUCCUCCUGCAACCAAACUGGCCUGGAAGCCCCAUCAGAGCCCUGUCCUGCAGGAUACUACUGCCCCAGCACUUCCCAAGACCCCCACGCCCACCUCUGCCCUGCAGGACACUACUGCCCUCUUGGCACACCUCUUCCUGUGCCAUGUCCUCUCGGGACUUUCCAAAGUUCCCGUGGUGGCCCCUCAAGGGAGUCUUGCCAGCCAUGUCCUCUGGGCCAUUACUGUCACCAGAGAGGCUUGACCCAAGCCAGUGGCCAGUGUGCAGGCGGCUACUACUGUCCACCGGGACAGAGUUCGGAGAGGCCUCCACAACACAUCUGCUCGGUGGGACACUACUGUGAGAAGGGCAGUAUGGAACCAAAACCUUGCCCUCCGGGCAGCUUCCAGCGCAUGCAGGGUCGGGACAGCUGCAUGACUUGCCCUGCUGGCUUCUACUGCUCAGAUCAAGGAACGUCUUCCCCACGUCUUUGCGAGAGAGGAUUUUACUGUCAGAGCGCAUCGUCACAUCAACGCCCGUGCCCAGAGGGCUUCUAUGGAAACCUGACAGGCUUGGUUGAAGAUCGCCAGUGCUCGCUGUGUGAUCCAGGGAUGUUCUGCAGAGGAUCGGGGAGGACUUUUCCCAGCGGCCCGUGUGCUGCAGGGUAUGUUUGUGUUGGGGGAGCGUCUGAACCGUCCCCAGUGGACAAUCAAACCGGCUUCUUGUGCCCUGCUGGCUUUUUCUGCUCUGUGGGGACUUUUGUACCUCGACCAUGCCCCAAGGGAACAUUCAGUGAGCGAACCGGACUGGUGGAUGAAUCUCAGUGUCGCAGUUGCAGCCCAGGCUUCUACUGCUCAGAGGCAGGCCUCUCAGCGGUCUCCGGACCAUGCCUUCCUGGCUUCUACUGUCUGGACGGCUCUCAGACGGCUGCACCAAUAUCGAGUGUAGCUGGCGGUGUAUGUCCAGCAGGCUAUUACUGUGCAGAGGGCAGCAGCGUUCCCUUACCCUGCCCGGCUGGCUCCUUCCGGAAUGAGACAGGAGGAAAAGGCAAAGACGACUGCAAGACUUGCCCUCCUGGCUUCUACCAAGAUUUAUCAGGCCAGACGGAGUGUAGUCGAUGCCCUGCUGGCUUCCACUGCGAGACCCACAGAUGGAGCUCCACCAGGGGGAGCUUUUCAGGGCUCUCCAGCCCUCUGCCCUGCCCAGCUGGCUUCUUCUGUCCCAGGGAGAGAGCAGACGGUCGUCCGGUCCCUUGCCCCAGAGGCACAUAUGGCCCCAGUCAGGGUCUUACCUCUGAAGGUGAGUGCUCAGUGUGCCCUGCAGGUCACUUCUGUGGCUCUGAAGGUUUAGUGGAGCCCUCUGGACGGUGCACUGCUGGAUAUCUUUGCCUAGCGGGGGCCUCGGUGCCCAACCCCACUGACAACAGUAGCGGGUCUCUCUGCCCUCCGGGGGUGUUCUGCCAACAGGGACUUAAAGCAGGUGCCUGCCGGGAAGGGUUUUAUUGUGGCUGGGGUUCAGGCAGAGUAGAUGAGACUGUGUGUCCCGCUGGGUUCUUCUGCCCUGGUGGAACACCAACGCCCAUUCCCUGUCCUGCUGGAGCAUUUAGCUCCAGAGCGGGUAACUCCCAUCUGAGCAACUGUACUGAGUGUACCGCAGGAUACUACUGUCAAGUCGAAGGAACCGUGCAGCUGACAUUGUGUCCCACUGGAUACUACUGCCCCCCAGGAAUGACACAAGGACAGGGCUUCCCCUGUCCAGCUGGUACUGUCCAAAACCAGCUUGGGGCCUCCAGUCUUGAUGCUUGCCUACCCUGCCCUGCUGGAAUGUUUUGUUCCCAGCCUGGGUUAUCGCAACCUACGGGACCGUGUGAGUCUGGAUAUUACUGUCCUGCUGGAUCGACAGGCUCAAACUCUUCUGAGUUUCAGAGUAAUUCAACCAAAAGCCAUCUUUGUCCCUCUGGCCACUAUUGCCCUGCUGGAACCAAAAAUCCAAUUCCGUGCCCCGCAGGCUCUCUAUCCAUCUCUCGAGGUCUAAAGAGAGUUGAGGACUGUCCCCCCUGCCGCCCUGGACGGUUUUGUGAUAAACCUGGGAGUACAGAGCUCUCUGAUGCUAUUCCUUGUCAUGCCGGCUACGUUUGCCUGGGCGGAAGCCCCAGCCCCACCCCAUCCGACGGUUCUCAUGGCUACCAGUGCCCUGCCGGCUACAGCUGUCCUGUUGGCUCAGCCAGAGCGCUGCCAUGUGAGCCAGGCACGUACAAUCCAGCUCCUGGAGCAUCCGAGUGCAUUGUAUGCCCCAGAGGAAUGAUGUGCUCCUUCCCAGCCACACUGGAGCCUGCCCUCUGCACACUUGGUCAUUUUUGUCCUGUUGGAACCGCUCUGCCUCAACCUUGCCCUUUAGGGACUUUCAACAACCAGACAGGUGCACACUCCCGCUCUGUCUGCACAGCCUGCCCCCCUGGACUCUACUGUAGCACAUAUGGAGCACCAGCCCCACAAGGUUCUUGUCUGCAAGGCUAUUUCUGCCAAGGUGGAGCCGCGGGACCAGCUCCACAGAGCACAGCUAACUUCCCUAAGAAUGGGCCCUGCCCCGCAGGUCACUUUUGCCCGGCGGGGUGUCUCGCCCCAAUUCCUUGCCCUCUCGGCUCUGUCCGCAACAGCACUGGAGGCGUGUCACUGGAGAGCUGCUCGACUUGUCCUCCAGGUCACUAUUGCGCUACUGAAGGUCUCUCCAAGCCAAGCGGGCCCUGUGCCGCCGGUUUCUACUGCCCUUUGGAAUUCUCUUCAACCGCUCCUUACACCUUGGCGUGUCCCAAAGGCCACUACUGCCCGCAAGGUUCCGCUGUGGCCCUUCCGUGUCCCGCGGGGGAGUUCCAGCCACAGCAAGGCGCAGACCGCUGCAUCCCCUGUCGACCUGGCUUCUUUUGUGAGGACGCCAUCGUAGGAGAGCCUCGACUCUGCCCACCACACUCAUUCUGCCCAGCAGGUACCAUGGUGCCUCGUCCGUGUCCAAAUGGAUCUUACACUGACCCAAACAAGGGGGGACUACAGGAGGAUAAAGAGUGUUUACCCUGCCCCCCAGGGAGGUUCUGCAGAGCUGGCAGGAUACAAGGUGCAUGUGCUGACGGGUACCUUUGUCUUUACGGGAGUGCUGAAAUGACCCCCCAGGGAUCAAUACCUGACCUGACGCUGUGUCAGUGGGGUGUGCAGUGUGCUGGACCGUGUCCACCAGGGUUCUACUGCCCUGAAGGAACAGAAAAGGCCAUCUUGUGUCCGGAAAACACCAUCAGAAGCUACCCAGGCGGUGCCAGCGUGCAGGACUGUGCAGCAUGUCCACCACGGCACUGGUGUCAGCCUGGAGAGCCGGAGCCUCGUCUGUGCCCUGCUGGUCAUUACUGUGACGGUUUGCCUGGAAGUGACAUUAAUGGAUGGAGGGGACCCAAGCCUUGUCCCGUGUUCACCUAUGGAGCCUCCACCGGAGCUGGCAGUAAAGACAACUGCCUUCCCUGCCCUCCUGGAUCCCAUUGCAACCGUACAGGACUUGUAGACUACACCAGCACGCUAUGCCCACCUGGAUUUUGGUGCAGUGGGUCUGGAUCCCCCAUCUUAUGCCCAGCAGGCACUAAGAGGACCCUUCCUGGCGCUGCUGAUCCCAGUCAAUGUGAGCCUUGUGCUGGGGGGACCUUCUGCCCAGACCCUCAGGCUACCGGGCAGCCCAAUAUGGAGGGCAUACCCUGCAGGGCCUCUUAUGAAUGCCCCUCAGGUUCAGCCUCAGAGAAGCUAUGCAGAGCCGGCUCAUACUGCCAAGCCCAGACUGCUGAGCCUCAAAUCUGUCCAGCAGGUUAUGUUUGUACCGAGGGGUCGCACUCUUACAAUCUCCCUCAACAACUCUGUCCAUAUCCCUACUACUGCCCCCCCAAUAGCUCUUCAAUGAAGUCCUGCGAUGGAGGCUUAAAGCCUGUCAAAACCACUGGGCUUAGAGGGUCCAAAAGCCUCUGCUGCAGAGUAUGUGAGGAGGGCACAUAUCGUCCUGACCUAUCGGCUGUCGUGCAAUGCCUGUCAUGCCCACAGGGAUAUUUCUGCCCCCCAGGCACAGACAACUACAAGAGUAACCCCUGCCCUCGGGGGUAUGUGUGCCCCUCUGGGUCCGUACGACCAACACCCUGCCCCCCUGGCUCCUUUGGCAACGCCACCCAUGCGGAGAAGCUCCAAGACUGUCACCCAUGUCCGGCGGACACGUUCAACCACCUGCAUGGCCACACAGCCUGCUUCCCUUGUGGCAGCUCGUCCACAUCGACACCAGGUUCUUCAUCAUGUGCCUGCAUUGGCAAAAACCGUGCCUUUCAGCACUCAGAUGGUUCAUGCUUGUGCAGAACGGGCUUCAUCUUUUAUAAUGAGCUGGACUUCAAAAGCUCUGCUUCUGACAGCGAGUUGGACUGCCAGCCUGAGAUGAAUCGGCGGUGUGCUGCAGGGCAGGUUCGUCUUGCAGCAUCCAGAGAGUGUGUAUCACCUUCCCUUCACUCCUGUAAUGUAACCUGCGGACCGCAUGGAGGAACCCUGGAUGUGGAGAUGGGGAUCUGCCACUGUCAGCGAUACGUGUCGGCCGAGGAGCUGUGCAGCACUUCCUGCCUCUCCAAAAUGCCACAGCUUUCAUCCCACUUCUCCCCAGAUGGGCAUCUGAUUCUCAGUGUUAGAGAAAAAGACGGCACGGUGUGGACCAAGACUUUAUUGGACAUCGUAGGACCAGAUCGCCAUGCACAGGACAUUAGGAAGAUCCAUUUGGUUGAGUUUGACUCUCAAGGAGUAUUUGGUUGGAUUCCUACACAAAGACAGGACAUUGAGCUGUUUCUCUCAGAAUCAUUAGACAUCUCAGCUGCGACAAAUAGAAAGAGGAGAAGCACUGGAGAUCCCCAGGAGUUACUACUACCUCGAAUCCCAAACCCAGUGGCCUGUCUGUCCACUGGUGACAUGCUAAUUUUCCGUCUAACCAUAAAUCACACAGAUCGCAAUCUCAGCCACUUCCCCGUCUACGAUAAAGACCACUUGUUCAACAGUAACCCCAGCUGGGACUUUGGGGUCUUCAGACGUCUUCAGACACUCAUGAAGCAGUCAAAUCUCAAUAACACUUGGUUUGCCCAUGUCUUCUCCCAAACGGGAAAAUAUGCAUUCAUGGACAGCGCUGUCCCACAUUGGAGUUUGGUGGCGGUGGUGAGCGAGGAUGGGACAGAGUGCGACCCGCGGGCUGCCACCUUUCAGCCCAUGACCCCGACACAGCUUGUCAGGUUCGGAGUUGUCACUCAGCAUCGACUAAACCUCCUCCCGGAUUGGGGAGUGAUCACAGGCCUCCUAAGUCUACUGUUAGUGCUGGUUGUGGUGGUGACCACUACCGUGGUGGUGCUUUGGCCCAGCAAGGCGAAGCUGGUCUGUGGUCAGUGGAGGACAAAGCCCAAGUGGCGCAGUCUCGGUGACCCCCCUCAUCCGGUGUGCAUUUGCACUGGAGACAGGUUGUGUGCAGGUAGUAGAGGUGUAGCGGAGGGAGCGGAAGGCGAGGAGUCUGUCCUUUCUAAGGGAGGAAUGAUGUCGGAGCGCUUUGAUUUGGAGGAGUUCAAUGUAAAGACUUUGUACGACAAACUGGAGGACCAGAACCUUCAUGUGGCCUCGCAGCUGGCUCGGCAUCGCAAGGACACACAGGAGUUUUAUCGGAAUAUCUGCCAACAGGUUGAAGCACUACAGCACGUCUUUGAGAAUAUGGAUGGCAAGAAGCUAAGUCUGCUAAAAGAGAUGCUUGCAUCCCAGAACGCGAUGAGGGACAAUCCAUACAACAGCUCUGAAAAAAGGAUAUAUGAACAAGCCGGGGACUCCGCAGCAGUACUGGGAGUUGUUCUCAGGUCAGUGGAGGCACUGCUGAAUAAACUCAAUGGAAGCACUUGGCAGGCCCGGGAUCUGCAACCUCCUCGUGCCAGGGAAGCACCAGUGAGGCAUGCUGGUGUCAACACCAGUGACACCAGUACCACACCAGCACUACGGGAUCCAUCAAUGGAUUUGACUGAAAUGGAAGCACCAGGCCAUUCACACGGCACAGAGCCUCAUCUAAGUGACGUGGACCUAGCCAAGCUAGUCUGCAUUACCCCCCUAUGCAAGACUCUACAAGAGAUCCAACAGCCCUUCCAAAAUUUCCCCACAGCCCCUCCUGGGCAAACUCUCCCUAACGUGAUUGGUGAGUCAUCCCAGGAGAACACUGACGUGCGGCUUAUUCCAAGCGCCCUCGACAGCCUCUCACCUCGCCACUCAGCCGUCUUCCUGUUUGGUUGCCGGGUGAUGGAGCUCCUUGAAAAAUGCUCCUCCGUGUUCCCCUCUGUGCUCCUCAUGCCAGCCAAGUCCGUCCCGCGUUGGUGCUGCGAUAACAGUCUGCUGUCGCAUUGCUCGGGGGACUUUUAUUUUGACGCCAGUGGUCAAGUCCUCUAUCUGAAAGAGGCCAAGCUGGAACACAUCGGGCAUUUUAUCGCCACCAUCCUUCAAUCCAUGGCCCACGUAGCGUCAUCAGGACUGAGAGCCCAAAGCUUCAUGCAAGUGCUUCACGAGGCCAUAUCAGCUCUGAGCCUGCAGCUAUUCAACAUGUCUUUCACGCAGAGCACAGCAGAGCACGGCGCACUGGGAGAGGAAUUUCUCAAUACAAGCGUUCCCAAAGCAGCACACCUUACUGAGCAGGUCUUGGCUGCAAGGCUCGAAAAAUACAGAUAUUCAAUAUUAGAGCAGCUCAUUGGAAGGCUUGGUGCAAAGCCACCUGAGGACAGAGAGACAGACUCCUGCCUUGCUCUCCUGGUUUGCACACCUGUUGCCUAUCAGCCGUUAGGCCUUCUUAAAACCGCUGCCUCGUCCUGCCUGCACGUUGCACGCUUAAUUUUUUCUCCUGGCUUUUUGUCUCUCUUUCCUGUAACUCGUAUUUCUGCUGGCUACUAGUUGAGCCACUUUGUGAUCCUUAUUUACUACUUUGUACUCUUUUGUUUGUAUGUCUUUAGUUGUACUUUGUUUUUCCUCCUCUGUAUUAUUAAAUACUAUUUUCCUUUAAAUGUUCCUUGGUCUGUGCUCUGGGGUCCUCAACACAUGGCACUAGUGCCACCCAGUGUAACAAAUUGUUCUUAUUGGACAUUUUUUUCGUGUGUUUUUAAGCAGUUUCAUGUUUUGCUUUUUUUUGUUAUACCCAAAACGAACCCAACCGUGACCUUAGAUGACCAUAGCUUAUGGCAUACAAUGGCGUGUAUACAAGAUGCACACACUUAUUAUUAUUUUUGUUUCCAAUACUUCCAUGAGGAGCUACAAAGAGCCCAUUGGACUCAUUGGCUACAGCAUAAGGAGUAUUGAAAAAUAAUUGUAAGAAGUCAAGCAUAUUACACCACAGGGUCCUUAAUUGGUUGUUUGUUUUAUAAUCCGUGCUUGUUAGGGCUUGUUUUGCUUUGUUGCUUUUCCAGGCGAAUUGUAUCAGCCUUCAUCAGUUGUACAUUCUAAUUGUUGUUUUCAGCCUUCAUGGUCGAGUGCGAAACAGUCCCCCAACUCCCAACACACAACCAACGGACCCCCGCUGAUGAAAUCUAUUCAUAUGCAGUAUUUAUAUGUUUAUCACUGUGUGUGUUUGCUCGUGGCUGUCAAUUGGUGGAUUGUGAUACUCGGAUAAAUUGCGCUGUGAUUACGCUGCAAACCAAUUUCCCCGCGGGUGCAAUUAAAGUAUCUAUUUGAAAGUAAAGCGGCUGAAAAGUGGACGCUGGUGCCCGCUGUGAACAUUUCCAAAAGCCCAGAGGGCGGGAGGAGGAGACGCUUGGUUUGUUUGACAAAUAACGGCAGGACACUUUAAUGCUGAUGGAAACACUUUUGCUGUGUCAACAUUAUGUGCACAACGCCUGCCGGUAAUUGCUGGAGUUCAUUUAUUAGUUCGUUUAUUAGUUUGUGAUCAUAUAUUCUGUUUCAUACACAUGACAGCGAAGAGGCACGCGUCAGCAAAUAUACCACGACUAUAAACCUUGGAUAUACUUAUAUACAAACGUGUUUGCCCUUUCCUUAUUGCUUAUUUUUUCCACCAAUGAUCAUCAAAUUGGUCUAUCGUCUACUAUCAUCUACUAUCGUCUACUAUCAUCUACUAUUGUCUACUAUCGUCUAUCGCCUACUAUUGUCUACUAUCAUCUACCAUCGUCUACUAUCAUCUACUAUCGUUUACUGUCGUCUACUAUCGUUUACUGUCGUCCAUCGUCUACUAUUGUCUACUAUCAUCUACUAUCAUCUACUAUUGUCUAUCGUCUACUAUGGUCUAUCACCUACUAUCGUCUACUAUCGUCUACUGUCGCCUACUAUUGUCUACUAUCGUCUAUCAUCUACUAUUAUCUAUUAUUGUCUACUAUCAUCUAUUAUCGUCUAUCGUCUACUGUCGUCUACUAUCAUCUACUAUUGUCUACUAUCGUCUACUAUCAUCUAUCAUCUAUCAUCUACUAUCACCUACUAUCUAUCGUCUACUAUAGUCUACGAUCGUCUAGUAUUGUCUACUAUCGUCUACUAUCAUCUCCUAUCAUCUACUACCACCUACUAUAUAUCGUCUACUAUCGUAUACUAUUGUCUACUGUGGCCUGCUUGUUAAAUUGACUUAACAAAUGGCGAAAACAUGGAAUGGUGGUGAACCUUACCAGGAGCGGCCGGCCAACCAAAAUGACCCCAAAGGUGCCACGACGACUCAUCCAAAAGGUCACAAAAGACCAGCAUCCAAAGAAUGAAAUUAAAGAAUGAAAUUAUGUAUUGCUAUACAGGCUGUACUCUGGCGACUCUAAAGUACAUCAAAGUUUACUUUUGAUGGUACUGUCCACCCAGAAGAUUAAUCGAGGCACACAUGGUUAAUUUUGACCAUUGACAGUUAUCAGCACGGAUCCUUUAAAGGAAGUUUUUAGGAAUUUAUGUUUGUAAAAUAUCCUUAGGUCUACCGUUUUACUUGAAUUGGUUCUUGGAAGGGCCCGAUGGUUUUAGCCUUGAGCUGAAAUCAAUUUGUUUAAGCAUCUUUUCAAACACUGUCGAAGUUCCUGCAUGGACUAACGAUAAUGGACUCAUUCAAAUAAACACACGUCAAUUUGCAGAAUGGUAAUGGAGGUCUGAGCCAACGGGGCGUCCGGGGGAGGGUAGAAAAUGAGAGUGAAGUCCAUUUGCAGUGCUUUCAAGUUUUAGUUCUGGAAGAAUAGUCAUUCAUGGCGGGUGUAGUUCACGACCCUAAUGACUCUACUUUGAGAUAUGCAAUUAUCAAGUUUCACUGACCUACAAUCAAUAUAAGACGUCUAACAUCUUUAACUGUUGUAUCCCUACCAGCAUAUGGGACUCCGGCGGAGGUAUGGUCGUUCCUAACACGUCUUCAUCCAUGAACCCCUCCUCCUCCGGGUUGCAUCCAUUAAAAUAGCUGUCUUUCCAGGUGGAGGAGGAGAUAGACCGCUUGAACCAGGCCUUCUUGGAGCUCAGCGUGCAGCUGCAGAGGAGUGCUCAUAAAGAGAGAGAAGACGAGAGGGCAUCCCCCCCAAGCCUGGGUCGUAAUGGAAC